Molecule: transfer RNA, 67 nt
Filed under: Marmota monax (woodchuck)
Lineage: Eukaryota; Metazoa; Chordata; Mammalia; Rodentia; Sciuridae
Description: tRNA.Ala
Source: RNAcentral
GGUUAUGGCUCAGUGGUAGAGCACUUGUUUAGCACGUGUGAGGCCCUGGGUUCAAUCCUCAGCACCA